This 492-nucleotide ribosomal RNA is filed under the name uncultured bacterium. Its description in RNAcentral is "bacterial SSU rRNA". It matches the Rfam family "Bacterial small subunit ribosomal RNA", at positions 355 to 865 of the family's 1533-position model. The record is from RNAcentral.
UGGGGAAUUUUGCGCAAUGGGGGAAACCCUGACGCAGCAACGCCGCGUGGAGGAUGAAAUAUCUUGGUAUGUAAACUCCUUUCGAUGGGGAAGAUUAUGACGGUACCCAUAGAAGAGGCCCCGGCUAACUUCGUGCCAGCAGCCGCGGUAAAACGUAGGGGGCCAGCGUUGCUCGGAAUUACUGGGCGUAAAGGGUCCGUAGGCGGUGUGGCAAGUCGGAAGUGAAAUCUCUGGGCUUAACCCAGAGGCUGCUCCCGAAACUGCCAUGCUAGAGUGCGAGAGAGGCGAGUGGAAUUGCGGGUGUAGCGGUGAAAUGCGUAGAUAUCCGCAGGAACAUCCGAGGCGAAAGCGGCUCGCUGGAUCGCAACUGACGCUGAGAGACGAAAGCUAGGGGAGCAAACAGGAUUAGAUACCCUGGUAGUCCUAGCCCUAAACCAUCAGGACUUGGGGUUUGCCCUGUACGGGGCAAGUCCCGUAGCUAACGCGUUAAGU